Molecule: long non-coding RNA, 648 nt
Organism: Arachis ipaensis
Lineage: Eukaryota; Viridiplantae; Streptophyta; Magnoliopsida; Fabales; Fabaceae
Source: RefSeq, a predicted model, not a curated record
CCCGUUUGCGGUUAUGCGUCGCUCUCGACUUCCUCUUUGAUUCUAUACCAUUUUUAAGAGAAAGUUCUAGCAUGGAUUGUAGUUAGCUUCCACACAAGUUUUGAACGAGAUAAGAGUGAACUGAGUACUUGGCAUUGGAUUGUUGCGGAAUUGAAUGCUUGGGCUGCUUGCGGAGCAUUUGGUGGAGGCUUAGUGCCGUUGAUUGAGGUUUCGGUGUGAUCGAAAAGAGAAUUCAAGUGUUAAAAAACUGCCGUCAAUAAGGUAUGGGUCUUGAUUUCGAGUAGGUAUUAUGUAAAAUUAUGUGAAAACCUAGGUUAAUUGCUUUUAAGAUAGUGUUAGAUGAUGAUUGUUGAUGAUGGUAUGGGGCUUAGUGUGUAUCAUUGUUUUGAAUAUUGUGAUAUGUUAUGAAUUUGAGAAUUAAAUAUUUUGGUAAGUUUAAUAGAAAUUGAUGGUGUUGUAAUGUAUGUAUGCAUGAUUGAUUUAAUGGAUAUUGUGUUGAAUUGGCUAUGAAAAGUUUUGAUGUGAAAUUUUGGAUCGGAGACUGUGAGAGGGUGAGGUAUCUCCUACUUAGUAAAUUAUGGUAAAUGGUGACGUCGUGUUGUGAAUUGUUGAUGAAUUAAUAAGAAUUGGUUGGAUAUUUAAUUGUUA